Molecule: long non-coding RNA, 814 nt
Organism: Cornus florida
Lineage: Eukaryota; Viridiplantae; Streptophyta; Magnoliopsida; Cornales; Cornaceae
Exons: 3
Source: RefSeq, a predicted model, not a curated record
UUUGUUUUAUUUUAUUUUAUAUUUUUUUUUUAUUAUUAUUUUUUUGUAUGGAUUAAAAAUAUGUAUUUUUCUCCUUUGCGUUUGCGGUAACUUUUCCAUAUCCAGUUCUAGUUGAGUCCAUGUUCCAACCACUGGUACCUAAAGAGGAUAAAACGGAUAUGCAAAUUUUGACAUCAAACGUCAGCUGGAAAAGGAUUAUGGUGUUAAUGCUUGUGUGGGUUUCUUUUUUUAUCUCUUCAGAUUAUCAAGAGGAAUCGGAAUCGGAAUAGGAAUAGGAAGGAUGGAAUAAGUGGAUUGCGAGACGACAUCCUCAUCACCAUCCUCUCUCGUUUGACACUUAAGGAAGCAGCUUGUACUUGUAUUCUCUCACGCCGAUGGAGGUAUUUGUGGAGAUAUAGAACUGCUUGUUUCAACUUGGAUUCAAAAUCAUUACUAGGAUUUCGUGCAGAAAAUGAUAUAUAUUUUGAAGAAAGUAUGUACGUUGUGUGAAUGAAGUCUUGAAAUUGCAUCUUGGUUCCUGUAUAGACAAAAAGAGGAUUUCUUUUACUUUGAAUGGGCAAUACCCUAGUGAUAUCGAUGCUAAUUCAAUUAUUAAAGUACUUAAUGGAAUUUAAACAAAAUAUAGAACUAAUGUACACUAUAAUUAAACAUAACUUAGAAUUAACAAGUAAUGUAACAAAAUUCCAAACAAUACGAGACAAACAUAGAAUAGAAUAGAGUACGUCAACUCAAAUUCGGCAGGCAGGACUGGUUAAUUACCUGAGUAUUGGCGGGAUUUGAAAAUUGUUGCAGCAUGACAGCACCUGGUGUGGAU